RNAcentral lists this ribosomal RNA (207 nucleotides) under uncultured bacterium. RNAcentral's name for it is "partial 16S ribosomal RNA". It matches the Rfam family "Bacterial small subunit ribosomal RNA", at positions 568 to 774 of the family's 1533-position model. The record is from RNAcentral.
CGCGUAGGCGGUUUGUUAAGUCAGCUGUGAAAGCCCCGGGCUCAACCUGGGAAUUGCAGUUGAUACUGGCCGACUAGAGUACGAGAGAGGGAGGUAGAAUUCCACGUGUAGCGGUGAAAUGCGUAGAUAUGUGGAGGAAUACCGGUGGCGAAGGCGGCCUCCUGGCUCGAUACUGACGCUGAGGUGCGAAAGCGUGGGGAGCAAACA